Molecule: ribosomal RNA, 460 nt
Filed under: uncultured bacterium
Lineage: Bacteria
Description: partial 16S ribosomal RNA
Rfam family: Bacterial small subunit ribosomal RNA
Source: RNAcentral
CCUACGGGAGGCAGCAGUGAGGAAUAUUGGUCAAUGGCCGGAAGGCUGAACCAGCCAUGCCGCGUGAAGGUCAGUGCCCUAUGGGCGUUAAACCUCUUUUGUGCGGGAGCAAUAAUGGUCACGUGUGGCCAGACGAGAGUACCGUACGAAUAAGCAUCGGGUAACUCCGUGCCAGCAGCCGCGGGAAUACGGGGGAUGCAAGCGUUAUACGGAUUUUUUGGGUUUAAAGGGUGCGUAGGCUGUGAGGUAAGUCAGUGGGGAAAUGCCUCGGCUCAAGGGGGUGAAGUGCCAUUGAUACUGGCUGGCUGGAGUGCGGAUGACGUGGGAGGAAUGUGUGGUGUAGCGGUGAAAUGCAUAGAUAUCACACAGAACACCGAUUGCGAAGGCAGCUCACGGAUCCGCGAUUGACGCUGAUGCACGAAAGCGUGGGUAUCAAACAGGAUUAGAUACCCGGGUAGUC